Molecule: long non-coding RNA, 1837 nt
Organism: Pieris brassicae (large cabbage white)
Lineage: Eukaryota; Metazoa; Arthropoda; Insecta; Lepidoptera; Pieridae
Exons: 3
Source: RefSeq, a predicted model, not a curated record
UGUCAUGUAAUUUGAAAUUAAUUUCGUAAUCAUAUUAUCAAAACAUGCAGCUAAUUAACAUUAUCAAAAAGUAUACAAUGGUCGCGACCAACACAUAAACCAACACAUAUCUUCAGCACUAAAAAUUUAGCCUUCCACAAACGGCCUCCAUAACUUACAAGAAUCUUCAAGUGGGAGAUCCACUUUUUGAUCAUCCAAGACACUUUACGAAGCGAUCUGGAGCCGCAGGAGUGUGGCCAAAAAACCGGCCGUACUAUCAUUUUCUCAUAACUUCGUUUAAAAUAAGAUAAUGUGGAUAAAAUUAGAAGCACUCAGGAAACAAGCCGGGACUGUAUAAACAUGUCAUGUGCUGUGCCAACACUCAUGGUCAGAAAUAAAACCGUCGGGAUGAACCACAGAUGUUGACAGGUCACGGUGGAUUCUCUUAUCUUCACAGCUUUAGAGUUAAACAAAAUUCAGCCUGUCCUUGCAAUAAUACAGCUGAAGAGACAUGUCCUCAAUAACAGGAGUACUAAACAAUUUAUAGCCUAGCCUGUCUUGCGGACAACGGACCGGGUACGAGACUAAGUACGGAAAAUGUGUCCACCAUACCAGCCUAGCCUCGUAACUAAGCGCCGUUUAACUAGCGGCCUGAAAGUCAUUCGGCCGUAGCUUUUGUAACACAAUUGAAUAAUCUGGCUAAUGUUUAGGCUUGUUUCAUAAAAAAGAAUAAACAUUUGACACAAAAUAUGUGUUUAAAAAUCUAAUUGCUUGAAUAACGCACAGCUAAAUUCACAUUACUAUUGUCACAACACAUUUCAUUUUAAUUAAACAUUGAGAAACACCAGUUGUGGUUAGCCGACGCCAUAUUGACAGCUUAGAGAGUUUCGUUUCGAGUUAGAGAUUGGCAGAAAGUGGAACUAAAUUUAAAUUAACAGUCAACAGGCUAGGCAAGUAAUGAAACAUCAUAGAUCCAUGUCACUUGCCUAGCUGAUCAACUGCAUAUCAUUAAGGCCGCUAGUUAAACCUCGCUGUUUAGUUAAGAGGCUGGGCUAUUAAUUGAACGGCUUAUUCAAGUAGUUGGCUGCGACUAUUAAUGAACCAAAGCGUUAAUGAAUAUUCCACGUUUCGAGCACAAGACUAGCAGUCGUGAUUUAUGCAGAAAACUCAUACAACGACCAAUAUUUAAGCCUUGACUUGCUUAAGCUAUCGCGGAAUAUGGUUAAAAAGAGGAGGUUAUCUUUAGCGCAAAAUCACCUGCAUCAUAAGCAUACCCCACAUACACACCUUCACGUAAUUAUCCUAACUUUUACAGCAUCACACACCACAAACGAAUCAGGUAUUACUUAGUUGAAUGAAUUUAAUAAUUUUUACUGUUUAUUCCGUUAUAAAACUUUCAACCUAUAAAUAUUAUGAAUUCCAUCUUUGUUAUGUGUAGGUUUUAUUUAAAUAAACAGAAUGUAUCUGUAUGUAAUCUUUGGUUAUAUUUUUUAGUGUAAUUGUUUGUUUAUAUAUAUAUAUAUAUAUAUAUAAACAUAUUGUUAGCUGUAGCAUUACGAAAUAAAUUAUCAUUACAUUUAAUUCUUUCAAAAAGCAAUCGAUAUUAUUUCGCAAAUAUAACAGAAGAGACUCUUCAACCAGAGUGAGACAGAGAGACAGUCGAUAGUGGGGUGAUCAAUUAUAAAAAAAACUAUUGUUACGUGUCUAUCUCAUACCUAAUCCGCUGUUUUGCUAAUAAUUUAUAUAAUAUUUUUGAUUACCCCUAAUUGUCAUGUAUUUUAGAAAAGCUUGUAACCUAUAUUACACAUAUAGCAAUAUAUAUGAUGUGGUGAACUUUGAUCAUAAAUAUAUUAAUAAA